RNAcentral lists this transfer RNA (71 nucleotides) under Candidatus Servula neotermitis. Its description in RNAcentral is "tRNA-Gln". It matches the Rfam family "tRNA". From Rfam's summary of the family: Transfer RNA (tRNA) molecules are approximately 80 nucleotides in length. Their secondary structure includes four short double-helical elements and three loops (D, anti-codon, and T loops). The record is from RNAcentral. Lineage: Bacteria; Bacillati; Actinomycetota; Actinomycetes; Bifidobacteriales; Bifidobacteriaceae.
UGGGGUAUAGUGUAAUGGCAACACGGAUGACUCUGGAUCAUCUAAUUUAGGUUCGAAUCCUGAUACCCCAG